This is a non-coding RNA of Cinara cedri, 213 nucleotides long. The record is from the annotation of a GenBank genome assembly. Lineage: Eukaryota; Metazoa; Arthropoda; Insecta; Hemiptera; Aphididae.
AUGAAAUUAAAUAAUUGCAUCGUUUCAAACGGAUAAGUAAAAAAGUGUAUUUACAAAUAGUUGACAGUUGUGUAAUUUCAAAUUCAAAUUGUAGUUGAAAUAGUGAACCUAUAAGCACCUAGGUACCUAAUCGAUGUUAUGUGCUACUAACUUAUCACCUUGCUCUCGUUAGUAUUGAAUAAAAAAAAACAAAUGGACAUACUUCGCACGAUG